AUUCCAGCUCCAAUAGCGUAUAUUAAAGUUGUUGCAGUUAAAAAGCUCGUAGUUGGAUUUCUGGGAGGAUGCCAAUGUCCGUCAUGUACGUGCGCAGCGGCGCCCUUCCAUCCUUCUGUUAACGCCUCUCGGCAUUCAUUUGCUGGUGGCGGGCUCAGAUAUUUUACCUUGAGAAAAUUAGAGUGUUUCAAGCAGGCCCACGCCUUGUAUACAUUAGCAUGGAAUAAUAACAUAGGACCUCGGUUCUAUUUUGUUGGUUUUCUAGAGCUGAGGUAAUGAUGAAUAGGGAUAGUUGGGGCAUUCGUAUUUAACUGUCAGAGGUGAAAUUCUUGGAUUUUGUUUAAAGACGGACUACUGCGAAAGCAUUUUGCCAAGGAUGUUUUUCAUUUGAUCAAGAACGAAAGUUAGGGGAUCGAAGACGAUCAGAUACCGUCCUAGUCUUAAACCAUAAACCAUGCCGACUAGAGAUUGGCGGUCGUUAUCUAUAUGACUCCUUCAGCACCUU
RNAcentral lists this ribosomal RNA (505 nucleotides) under uncultured marine eukaryote. RNAcentral describes it as "bacterial SSU rRNA". It matches the Rfam family "Eukaryotic small subunit ribosomal RNA", at positions 582 to 1089 of the family's 1831-position model. The record is from RNAcentral.